GUACAUGGUACCCCAACAAAUUCAUUGUGCAAAUAUACACAAGAAUAAUGAGUUAAAAUGAUGAAUGCGUAAUAAUCGUUAGGCACAAUUUAGUAAUAAUGUGUAGGCAAUUAAGAGCAACAAAAAUUGAGACGUACUCCAUAUUACAUUGUGUGAUUGUCUGGCUAUAUCAUCCCCAAAUUUAGUGGUCAUUAGAGUACUAGAAUGGCAU
This 211-nucleotide long non-coding RNA is filed under the name Medicago truncatula (barrel medic). RNAcentral's name for it is "long non-coding RNA (MTRU_LNC002199)". The record is from RNAcentral. Lineage: Eukaryota; Viridiplantae; Streptophyta; Magnoliopsida; Fabales; Fabaceae.